CAGCAGCAGCCGCGGUAAUACGUAUGUCACGAGCGUUAUCCGGAUUUAUUGGGCGUAAAGCGCGUCUAGGUGGUUAUAUAAGUCUGAUGUGAAAAUGCAGGGCUCAACUCUGUAUUGCGUUGGAAACUGUAUAACUAGAGUACUGGAGAGGUAAGCGGAACUACAAGUGUAGAGGUGAAAUUCGUAGAUAUUUGUAGGAAUGCCGAUGGGGAAGCCAGCUUACUGGACAGAUACUGACGCUGAAGCGCGAAAGCGUGGGUAGCAAACAGGAUUAGAUACCCCCGUAGUCCCUGUCUCUUAUACA
This 304-nucleotide ribosomal RNA is filed under the name uncultured bacterium. Its description in RNAcentral is "partial 16S ribosomal RNA". It matches the Rfam family "Bacterial small subunit ribosomal RNA", at positions 506 to 808 of the family's 1533-position model. The record is from RNAcentral.